GAUGAACGCUGGCGGCGUGCCUAAUACAUGCAAGUCGAGCGAACAGACGAGGAGCUUGCUCCUCUGACGUUAGCGGCGGACGGGUGAGUAACACGUGGAUAACCUACCUAUAAGACUUGGAUAACUUCGGGAAACCGGAGCUAAUACCGGAUAAUAUAUUGAACCGCAUGGUUCAAUAGUGAAAGACGGUUUUGCUGUCACUUAUAGAUGGAUCCGCGCCGCAUUAGCUAGUUGGUAAGGUAACGGCUUACCAAGGCAACGAUGCGUAGCCGACCUGAGAGGGGGAUCGGCCACACUGGAACUGAGACACGGUCCAGACUCCUACGGGAGGCAGCAGUAGGGAAUCGGCCGCAAUGGGCGAAAGCCUGACGGAGCAACGCCGCGUGAGUGAUGAAGGUCUUCGGAUCGUAAAACUCUGUUAUUAGGGAAGAACAAAUGUGUAAGUAACUAUGCACGUCUUGACGGUACCUAAUCAGAAAGCCACGGCUAACUACGUG
RNAcentral lists this ribosomal RNA (497 nucleotides) under uncultured bacterium. RNAcentral describes it as "partial 16S ribosomal RNA". It matches the Rfam family "Bacterial small subunit ribosomal RNA", at positions 28 to 507 of the family's 1533-position model. The record is from RNAcentral.